CCACUUUUAACAACGGAUCUCUUGGUUCUCGCAUCGAUGAAGAACGUAGCAAAGUGCGAUAACUAGUGUGAAUUGCAUAUUCAGUGAAUCAUCGAGUCUUUGAACGCAACUUGCGCUCAAUGGUAUUCCAUUGAGCACGCCUGUUUCAGUAUCAAAA
RNAcentral lists this ribosomal RNA (157 nucleotides) under Mucor hiemalis. RNAcentral's name for it is "5.8S ribosomal RNA". It matches the Rfam family "5.8S ribosomal RNA". Rfam says of the family: 5.8S ribosomal RNA (5.8S rRNA) is a component of the large subunit of the eukaryotic ribosome. It is transcribed by RNA polymerase I as part of the 45S precursor that also contains 18S and 28S rRNA. Functionally, it is thought that 5.8S rRNA may be involved in ribosome translocation. Lineage: Eukaryota; Fungi; Mucoromycota; Mucoromycetes; Mucorales; Mucoraceae. The record is from RNAcentral.